Molecule: ribosomal RNA, 678 nt
Filed under: Triticum aestivum (bread wheat)
Lineage: Eukaryota; Viridiplantae; Streptophyta; Magnoliopsida; Poales; Poaceae
Description: partial small subunit ribosomal RNA
Source: RNAcentral
AUGGCGGCGGCGGCGGCGGCGGUGCGCUGUGCUGAGCAGCUGGUUGAGAGGGAGAUGAGCGGGCGCGACGCCUCCCACGACGCCGCCCACGCGCUCCGCGUCCGGGACCUCGCGCUCUCCCUCGCCGCCGAGCAGGGCGUCUCCUCCCCCGACCGCCUCCUCAUCGUGGAACUGGCUGCUCUCCUGCACGACAUCGGUGAUUACAAGUACACCAAGGAUAAUGUGGAGGAUAUGAGCAUCGUCAAAAGGUUUCUUGAAGAGGUGGGGUUGGAGGAGGGGCAGAGGGAGGAAAUAGUGGCCAUUAUUACAGGGAUGGGAUUCAAAAACGAGGUUUCAAAUAAGCUUAAUGCGGAGCCCACUCUUGAGUUUGCAAUCGUGCAAGAUGCAGAUCGUCUGGAUGCAAUUGGUGCGAUUGGUGUUGCAAGAUGUUUUACAUAUGGAGGGAGCAAGAACAGUGCAUUGCAUGAUCCUAACGUACUUCCACGGGAUAAUUUGUCAAAGGAGAAGUAUAUGUCCAAGGAGGAGAAGCAAACAUCAAUUAAUCAUUUCCAUGAGAAACUUUUUAAGUUGAAGGACAUGAUGAAGACCGAGGCUGGGAAAAAGAGAGCAGAGAAAAGGCACAAGUUCAUGGAGAAUUUUGUGGCUGAAUUCUAUGAAGAGUGGAGUGGCAGGGCUUGA